This 204-nucleotide ribosomal RNA is filed under the name Calonarius sulfurinus. RNAcentral's name for it is "Cortinarius sulphurinus partial large subunit ribosomal RNA". It matches the Rfam family "Eukaryotic large subunit ribosomal RNA", at positions 82 to 278 of the family's 3401-position model. The record is from RNAcentral. Lineage: Eukaryota; Fungi; Basidiomycota; Agaricomycetes; Agaricales; Cortinariaceae.
AGUAACGGCGAGUGAAGCGGGAAAAGCUCAAAUUUAAAAUCUGGCAGUCUCUGGCUGUCCGAGUUGUAAUCUAGAGAAGCAUUAUCCGCGCUGGACCGUGUACAAGUCUCCUGGAAUGGAGCGUCAUAGAGGGUGAGAAUCCCGUCUUUGACACGGACUGCCAGGGCUUUUGUGAUGUGCUCUCAAAGAGUCGAGUUGUUUGGG